RNAcentral lists this ribosomal RNA (466 nucleotides) under uncultured bacterium. RNAcentral's name for it is "bacterial SSU rRNA". It matches the Rfam family "Bacterial small subunit ribosomal RNA", at positions 329 to 793 of the family's 1533-position model. The record is from RNAcentral.
GGCCAGACUCCUACGGGAGGCAGCAGUGAGGAAUAUUGGUCAAUGGGCUUACGCCUGAACCAGCCAAGUCGCGUGAGGGAUGACGGCCCUACGGGUUGUAAACCUCUUUUGCCGGGGAGCAAAGAGCGGGACGCGUCCCGCCUCGAGAGUACCCGGAGAAAAAGCAUCGGCUAACUCCGUGCCAGCAGCCGCGGUAAUACGGAGGAUGCGAGCGUUGUCCGGAUUUAUUGGGUUUAAAGGGUGCGCAGGCGGAGGCGCAAGUCAGGGGUAAAUUCGGGGGGCUCAACCUCGCUCCGCCGUUGAAACUGGCGUUCUUGAGUGGGCGAGAAGUAUGCGGAAUGCGUGGUGUAGCGGUGAAAUGCAUAGAUAUCACGCAGAACUCCGAUUGCGAAGGCAGCAUACCGGCGCCCAACUGACGCUGAAGCACGAAAGCGUGGGUAUCGAACAGGAUUAGAUACCCUAGUAA